GAGGAAUGUAUAGCAAUAGCUACUUGUAUCAUUAAUGAUGCAAGCUCGACUAUGUUGAAUAAAAUUCUAGGUAGAAUUAUGAUAAUGACAUUGUCUGCCUAUGUGUCUUGACCAAAUUACGUGCCAGCAGUCGCGGUAAUACGUAGAAGACUAGUGUUAUUCAUGUUUAAUCGGUUUAAAGGGUACCUAGACGGUGAAUCAAGCUUUAAAAGAAUAAAAGGGACUAAUUCGCUAGAGUUACUUACGAGGGGGCUUUAAAGUACUGCUGGUGUAGAGAUGAAAUUCUGUCAUACCUCUUUUCGAAAGAAGAAUAACGGCACAGGUAUAGGCGAAGGCAUCCCCUUAUGUGAUAACUGACGUUGAGGGACGAAGGCUUCAUGUAACAAACAGGAUUAGAUACCCUAGUAGUUGAAAGCAGAAAAUGAUGAAUGUCAUAGAUUAGACGUCUAAGUUUAUUCUAUAAAUGAAAGUGUAAGCAUUCCACCUCAUGAGUAAUUUGGCAACAUUGGAAUUGAAAUCAUUAGACCGUUUCUGAAACCAG
RNAcentral lists this ribosomal RNA (541 nucleotides) under Parmotrema pilosum. Its description in RNAcentral is "SSU rRNA". It matches the Rfam family "Bacterial small subunit ribosomal RNA", at positions 356 to 929 of the family's 1533-position model. The record is from RNAcentral. Lineage: Eukaryota; Fungi; Ascomycota; Lecanoromycetes; Lecanorales; Parmeliaceae.